This 318-nucleotide ribosomal RNA is filed under the name Triticum aestivum (bread wheat). RNAcentral's name for it is "partial small subunit ribosomal RNA". Lineage: Eukaryota; Viridiplantae; Streptophyta; Magnoliopsida; Poales; Poaceae. The record is from RNAcentral.
AUGAGAUCAAUGGAGGGCAUGCCGGGAGCCCCAAACAUGAAGAUGUACUGUAGAAACGAUUUGAUGAAGAACAACUUUGGUGCCGAAGGUGAUGAAGUUGACGGUGAAGACGAGGAAUACAAAUUACCAAAGAACUUGGGAAACAUUCUAAAAAACAUGGGUCCGCAAAAGAAAGACCUAAAACAACAGGUCGUGAAACAGAUCAAGGAUACCAGCAAGAAAUUGAAAGGUCAUGUGAGCAAGGUGACCAAGGUGGUAAAGAAUUGGUGGAAGGGGAAGAAAAAGCCUGCAAAAUCAAUCAAAAGCGAGCUACGAAGA